ACCUCCGUAGCUCAGUGAAUAGAGCAAAGAACUUCUAAUUCUUAGGUCGCAGGUUUGAAUCCUGCCGGAGGUACCA
RNAcentral lists this transfer RNA (76 nucleotides) under Blastopirellula sp. RNAcentral describes it as "tRNA-Arg". It matches the Rfam family "tRNA". From Rfam's summary of the family: Transfer RNA (tRNA) molecules are approximately 80 nucleotides in length. Their secondary structure includes four short double-helical elements and three loops (D, anti-codon, and T loops). The record is from RNAcentral. Lineage: Bacteria; Pseudomonadati; Planctomycetota; Planctomycetia; Pirellulales; Pirellulaceae.